Molecule: ribosomal RNA, 206 nt
Filed under: uncultured fungus
Lineage: Eukaryota; Fungi
Description: partial small subunit ribosomal RNA
Rfam family: Eukaryotic small subunit ribosomal RNA (bases 87-206)
Source: RNAcentral
GGCUCAGCGAUCGGGUCUUCCUUAACUGGUUGCACUCGAGCCGCUUUGCCUUAUCUUCUAGACACACGUCUCAGCAGACGUGCGGCUCUAGGACUUUUACUGUGAAUAAAUUAGAGUGUUUAAAGCAGGCGUUUGCUUGAAUACAUUAGCAUGGAAUAAUGGAAUAGGGCUGCUGCCCCAUUUUGUUGGUUUCUGGGACCGUAGCA